AUGAGCAGUCAAAUCAUAAGCCCCACCUUUCCCACUGUAAGUUGCUCGGAAGAAGCAACCAUCAAUACACUCUUCUUUGAAUCCGCUCAUACUAGUCCCUCUGCCACUGUUUGUAGAGUGCACUUCAAAAAAGAAGAACAAUCUCUGGGACCAAGGCGACUAGUGAUCAGCCUGAAAAAUAGCAUUGGUAGUUAUAGAACGGCGUCUAUUACUAGAGGAAAUAAUGCGUACACACAUGCAUGCAGUGCUUCCACCCCGGGUACACACAUGCAUGCACUUACUCCACUCUGUAGUACAUCGAGAGAAAAUUGUGGACUUGAUUGCGGUUACCACGCCCUAAUUAAUUGA
This 348-nucleotide ribosomal RNA is filed under the name Triticum aestivum (bread wheat). RNAcentral's name for it is "partial small subunit ribosomal RNA". The record is from RNAcentral. Lineage: Eukaryota; Viridiplantae; Streptophyta; Magnoliopsida; Poales; Poaceae.